GGUUCUCUGGGCUGCAGUUCUAUUAUAGUUAUCCCUCUGUUCUUGUUGCUGUUAGUGUCUCUGUUUUCUGCCUCUGUUCACAGUCCAGGUCCUGUAGACGCUCAGCAGAACAGAGUCAGGGUUCUGUAUCAACAGAUCUUCCUCCAGAGCUAGGUGAAGGUAUCAGUCACCAGGGUUCUGUAUCAACAGAUCUUCCUCCAGAGCUAGGUGAAGGUAUCAGUCCAGGGUUCUGUAUCAACAGAUCUUCCUCCAGAGCUAGGUGAAGGUAUCAGUCACCAGGGUUCUGUAUCAACAGAUCUUCCUCCAGAGCUAGGUGAAAGUAUCAGUCACCAGGGUUCUGUAUCAACAGUCUUCCUCCAGAGCUAGGUGAAGGUAUCAGUCCAGGGUUCUGUAUCAACAGUCUUCCUCCAGAGCUAGGUGAAGGUAUCAGUCACCAGGGUUCUGUAUCAACAGAUCUUCCUCCAGAGCUAGGUGAAGGUAUCAGUCCAGGGUUCUGUAUCAACAGAUCUUCCUCCAGAGCUAGGUGAAGGUAUCAGUCCAGGGUUCUGUAUCAACAGAUCUUCCUCCAGAGCUAACUCUCUCUCCAGUGAUGGUGCUUUUCAGAGGAGCUGAUCUGUUCUGUGCUGUUCUGUUAUGCACAUCUCUGUAGUUUGUUAGAUCAGUUAUUAGAGACAAACUGGUUCUGUUGUGCUCCUCUCUGUAGUCUGUUUGAUCAGGUCUAA
Long non-coding RNA from Oncorhynchus keta (chum salmon), 722 nucleotides. RefSeq lists it as uncharacterized. The transcript has 3 exons. The record is from RefSeq and is a predicted model, not a curated record. NCBI's taxonomy places the organism in Eukaryota, Metazoa, Chordata, Actinopteri, Salmoniformes, Salmonidae.